Pygoscelis adeliae (Adelie penguin) is the source of this 4038-nucleotide long non-coding RNA. RefSeq lists it as uncharacterized. The transcript has 2 exons. NCBI's taxonomy places the organism in Eukaryota, Metazoa, Chordata, Aves, Sphenisciformes, Spheniscidae. The record is from RefSeq and is a predicted model, not a curated record.
UGGCAAGAGGAUUAAGAAGACCAGGAAGUACGACAUAAUCACCACUCCAGCUGAGCGGGUAGAAAUGGCUCCUCUGAAUGAAGAAGAUGAUGAGGACGAAGACUCAACAGUGUUUGAUGUGAAAUACAGGUAAAGCAGCUCUGCGGAGCGUUGGUGCCCUACAAGAUGUCAUUCUGCUGUCGAGGGACCUGCUGAAGCCAUAACUGUGAAAGGGGAGGCUUUCAUCUCUGCAGUGUUACAACCAAACCAAGCCUCACCUCUUGAGGUGCUGUUUGUACAGCAGGCUAUGGAUCUUCUGACCAAAACGUCACCAUUCGGUUCCCUGGUUUCCAAACUGCUGUGUUGGAAUGACCAGAGUUCCUCUUUGCGAACUCAGCUCUCUCUUGCUUUAGGAGGGCUGCGGUGUCACUAAAGCAUGACAAGAUGCAGCCCUGUGUACCAACUUGCAGCUCAUUAUGGUCUAGAUAAGUUUUGCAGAAGGAAGAAGACAAGGAAGAUUGAACCAAGCUGCCCCAAGGACUUAUUUUCUAAAAUCCUAAUUCAAUACUUCAGUCACUGUUAAACUUUGGUCAUUGUUAAACAGAUCAUGUGUUUAAAAAAAUAUCAAGAAGUGUAUUUUUUGGGCCUUGCAGAGGUGACUUACGACUUUAGGUGGUAAAAGUGCAAGCCAUGCUGAAAUGGCACACUGUAUGUUUAGUGUAGGAUUUUUGGGGGAGGGGGUGAGAGGUUGACUCAUGUAGAAAAUUUUUUUGACUUGCUACUGAUUUUUUUUUUUAAACAACAAUUGCACUAAGCUUUCAUGAUGACAUUCUCAUUGUCCCAAGGAGCUCUGAUCAGACCAACUUGUAUAAACGAGACCACAGGGAAAUAGGAAGAAUCAGGCAUGCCCUAAACUACAACAAUCUUGGAUUAAAGAAGAUAUAUUUUUGUAAUUUUCUGCCUUUCCACAGGGAGUAAAAACAGUGUUUUGUACUGUCCUGUGCUUACUGUAACUUGUCUACAAUUCAUCUAUAUUACCUUUUUUCUAAGCAAAGUAAGUCCUCAUGUGGAAUGGUUAGAUUGUAGAAAGAACACCUCUUAUUUUUCAUGGAAGCUUCUUCAUGUAAGUGAUCCUAAUCUGUAUCAAACUGGAAGUUUUCCCCUACCACCCGCUUGACAAAUCCCAUUUAACUCAAGGACGCAUUUUUAACCAUCGCUCCCUGCUGUGCUUUGUGCUGCAGAGGUCAGAGCUGCGGGAUGACACUAAGAGAAUUAGAUUGCUGCAUCUGAAUAGAUUGGGUUUAGGAGACCACAAGCAUGUACAGGUUCCAGGCCGUUGUUAGAAAGGGCAAACCUAACUGGUUUAGUUUUUUACUUUGUGGUUUUCCUUUAAAGUAACCACAGAUGCAGUUCAGACUUCUCUUUGACAUGUUUAUUCUCUGUUUACUGCACCCCUUAACACCUUUUAUUUUGGGUUUUUAGGAUGGCUGGAACCCCGGUUUUCUUGGGGAAUGCAUGUCUUCCAAUUGUUUUAGGAUUGUCCCACUGUUUGCUUGACCCUCUACUAGCCUCCUGCAGUUACAAUCCCUCAAGGAGACUGCAGAGUAUCUGGCAAAGCACCAUCCUUGCAGCAAGCUGCCAGUCUUGGGUUUUGGGUUUUUUUGAAGGCCGAUUGGGAUUUGAGGCUUGCUGAGAACACUGAACUGCUUUGUCAUGAUACCAUGACCUAUGCCAGUUCUGUGCUGUUCCCUUGGGCCCUGCAGUUAGUAAAAGGAGGUGAAGGGGAAAUUUUUUUUUUUUCCCAGCAGCCUUGCGCUUUCCUCAAAGAAGCUCCCAUAACACAGCUUGCUUUCCCUAGCCGUGACUCAGCAAAGGCUUUACAAACAGCCCACUCAGCCUGGAUGGAAAAAUCCCACAGCAGACUGUUGUGUUAAUAUUAGUCAUCAAGGCAAUAUAAAAAUGCUAUGUUAUUUUCAUUCAUGGAAUGAAUUUGAGUCAUUCCGUAUUACUGUUACUAAGCAAUAUUUAACGUGUCAGCUGCAAGGUGAGGAUGGGGCUGAGCGGGCUGUAUCCUGGCUGGUAGGAAUCGCAGGGACCAGUACGUUGAAUGAUGCUGUGGGUUGAGAUAAGAUCUGGGGCUCUUUCCCCACCUAGGUAAAACAGGUUUCAGACUUAGGCUGGAUGAUUCUGAAGGAAUACUGUAUCUCUUCAGGACUAAAGUACUUCGAAGACCAGGAAUUCAACUUCUUAGGCAGACUGAGUCCAUUUGAAGUCAGAGAAGUGGCGAUGCUGAGAGGAGAGAGAGAGGGAGGUUAAAAGCUUCUGUUUGCAUUUGCAGAAGGAGGCAAUGGAGUGAGGUGGCUGCCCUGUCUGAGCAGACACCAUGGCAACACGUUCAUGUCCACUCUUCUGCCAAACUCAUUAAGCUGAGCAUCAGGCACGCUGGAAGAGUGGUGGAAAGGGAAUGAAACCUUCUCUGUGCACAAAAGAAAGGCGAGACCAAGUUAUGUAGGAGAGAGGUGAGAGGAAAAGGUACAUAAAGGAUACUUCUCCUUUCUGAGGGUGAGUCAGUUCUUGAAAUCAGGAGUUUUUCCACCAACUUCAGGUCACUUACUGAGUUAGGCUGGCAAAGGCCAUCCACUUUUCCUUGCUUGUGGCUAAAAGAUCCCACCGUUUCCACAAUGUGGCCAAAUCUCAGUGGGGGACAGGGACCAGGUAUUUAAGAUGUUGAAGAUGGAGGUGCCCAACUGCUACUGGGAUGCUCUGGCUCCUCGAGGAGGUCCCAAACCAUGUGCCAUAAGCUAAAAAGUACUUCUAGAGAAGCAGCAGCUGCUUGGUGGAAAUAAAAGGCCAACCUCACCAGUUGCUCAUGGUCAUGAAAAUAAUCCGAAUGCUUUGUUUGAUACUCAGUUGCUGUUGCAAAUGUGAGGCAAUGUUUACCUCUACAAAAGUUGCUGUAUGUGAUUUAAAGUGUCUGGUUAAAUAUUCUAUAGCUAUAUUUAGUUAAGAUUUUAAGAGCACUUGAUGUGACUCAUCUAAUAGUAUAUAUAUUAAUAUUUUUUUAAUGGUAGGAAUUAGUUUAAAACAUAGUUUUAAUAAUUUGGACUGUUCGGUUCAGGUAGUUCUAGGAGUUCAUUGGAGAAGAAAUAGCCAUUAACCACUACAUGAAUGUUUUACCUUAAUGUUCUGUGUAUCUUACACUGCAGAUUUAAUAUCAUUGUGACUGUAACGUGUCUUAGUAUCUGCCGCUCUUUGUGUUGCAUAGUCAAACUUGCUUUGUUCAAGAGCAUUUUUAAAGGCGUAUUUUUUUGUUACAGAAAAUGAAAAGAGAAAUGUUAUUACAGAUGUCUGCCUGUAGCUCGCUCACUGCUUACAAAAUCCACCGACUGGUAGCAGAGUCAAACAGAGCAAGCAAAUUAGAGGCUUUCCUAUUUGUGCAUGCUGUGCUGUGGAGGAAAAACCUUGCACAGAAUUGCAGCUUCUUUACUCCAACCACAGCGCUGUCACUGGAGAUUACAUUUGAGAAGCCAGAAGUUGGUGUGCCAUGCUUGCCUGCAGAAUUGUCAGAAAUACAUAGAUAGCUUUGUAUUUGUUGCGUUUUUUUGUUGUUUUUUCCCCCAUGGAAGAUGUGGAGAUGACUGCAAACACUUGUUUAGCACACUAACUUGUGUUAUCCUAAUGCUUAUCCUAAGCGCAGACUUGUAGAAGUCUAUAAGCACUAAUGAAGCUUGAACACACAGGCAUUAAUGCAUUUGAACGUUUUGUUCGUAACAGUUCCCUCCAAUUCACUGUACGUGGUAUAAUCUCUGCAGGGUGGCAGGCUAUGGUUUUCAUUAAGGGUUUUUUCUUCUGUUAGAUGAGUUUCUGCUGCUGCAGUUUUUGUGUGAGGAGUUAUCAGGACCAUGCGUUUUGUGCAAUUGCUUGUACUUUGUUUAAAAAUGUUUAAGAAAAUUUGUCAUUGUGACCAAAGCUUCUUUUUAAGAAAAAAUUGGUAAGACUAGUUUGAAUGGACUUCUGAUGUUUCAGCAGAAACUGCCAUCAUUAAACAUGUUCUUGAAA